UCAUAUAUGGGUUUUCUUCAGCCUCUGCCACCCCUGAGACAGCAAGACCAGCCCUCCCUCUUCCUUGCCAUCUUCAGCCUACUCAACGUGAAUACGAUGAGGAUGAAGACCUUUAUGAUGAUGCACUUCCACUUAAUGAACAGAUCAAACCAUUGA
Molecule: long non-coding RNA, 156 nt
Organism: Cebus imitator (Panamanian white-faced capuchin)
Lineage: Eukaryota; Metazoa; Chordata; Mammalia; Primates; Cebidae
Exons: 3
Source: RefSeq, a predicted model, not a curated record